This 253-nucleotide ribosomal RNA is filed under the name uncultured bacterium. RNAcentral describes it as "partial 16S ribosomal RNA". It matches the Rfam family "Bacterial small subunit ribosomal RNA", at positions 524 to 776 of the family's 1533-position model. The record is from RNAcentral.
UACGUAGGGCGCAAGCGUUGUCCGGAUUCACUGGGUGUAAAGGGUGCGCAGGCGGGAAAGUAAGUUAGAGGUGAAAUCUCACAGCUCAACUGUGAAACUGCCUUUGAUACUGCUUUUCUUGAGUUAGGGAGAGGUUGAUGGAAUUCCAGGUGUAGCGGUGAAAUGCGUAGAUAUCUGGAAGAACACCGGUGGCGAAGGCGGGUCUCUGGGCCGAUACUGACGCUGAGGAGCGAAAGCGUGGGGAGCGAACAGG